RNAcentral lists this ribosomal RNA (489 nucleotides) under Triticum aestivum (bread wheat). RNAcentral describes it as "partial small subunit ribosomal RNA". The record is from RNAcentral. Lineage: Eukaryota; Viridiplantae; Streptophyta; Magnoliopsida; Poales; Poaceae.
AUGCAGGAAACUUACACACCAAAUGAUGCCACAGAAGAGAUUGCAGUACAAGAAGAAGAAGAAAUCCCACAGGAUCAGGACUCCCCUCCAAAUGAGUAUCUCAUGCAUAUUUCGGCUCAUGCAGUUUCAGGGCAGGUCACUGCUGGCACAUUUUCAGUCAAGGUCACUGUUGGUGGACAAACAGGCAUUGCCCUUAUUGAUACCGGCAGUUCAAGUACAUUCAUUGAUUUGUAUUUAGCAGUUACAACCACUUGCCAUAUCCAAAAGAAAAAAUCGGCUAAAAUAGAUGUGGCUGGGGGAGGCCAACUUACAUCUGGGGCAAUCAUAGCAGACACUGCAUUCUGCUUCUUGGUUUUCCAAAGGUCCGGAGGAGCAGAAGAGUUUCUAGUCGAGAAGGGUCGGGCAUUAGCAAAUCCUUCAAUCCCAACUCUUGAAAAGAAGAAACCAAUUUUAAGGCAUCUCCUCCCCUCGGUGCAUAUUAUCAUAUAG